This 247-nucleotide ribosomal RNA is filed under the name uncultured Actinomycetales bacterium. RNAcentral's name for it is "partial 16S ribosomal RNA". It matches the Rfam family "Bacterial small subunit ribosomal RNA", at positions 86 to 334 of the family's 1533-position model. The record is from RNAcentral. Lineage: Bacteria; Bacillati; Actinomycetota; Actinomycetes; Actinomycetales.
GGUACUCGAGUGGCGAACGGGUGAGUAACACGUGAGUAACCUGCCCUUGACUUCGGGAUAACUUCAGGAAACUGGGGCUAAUACCGGAUAGGAAUCCUUGCUGCAUGGUGGGGGUUGGAAAGUUUCGGCGGUUGGGGAUGGACUCGCGGCUUAUCAGCUUGUUGGUGGGGUAGUGGCUUACCAAGGCUUUGACGGGUAGCCGGCCUGAGAGGGUGACCGGCCACAUUGGGACUGAGAUACGGCCCAG